Molecule: ribosomal RNA, 251 nt
Filed under: uncultured prokaryote
Description: partial 16S rRNA
Rfam family: Bacterial small subunit ribosomal RNA
Source: RNAcentral
ACGGGGGUUGCAAGCGUUGUCCGGAAUUACUAGGCGUAAAGGGCAGGUAGGCGGAUAGAUAAGUUUGAUGUUUAAGGCGACGGCUUACCCGUCGUAAGGCAUCAGAUACUGUUUAUCUGGAAUGCGGUUGGGGAAGACAGAAUUCCUGGUGUAGCGGUGAAAUGCGCAGAGAUCAGGAGGAAUACCGAAGGCGAAGGCAGUCUUAUAGGCUGAAAUUGACGCUAAACUGCGAAAGUGUGGGUAUCAAACAG